This 2892-nucleotide ribosomal RNA is filed under the name Pseudomonas aeruginosa. RNAcentral's name for it is "23S ribosomal RNA". It matches the Rfam family "Bacterial large subunit ribosomal RNA". Lineage: Bacteria; Pseudomonadati; Pseudomonadota; Gammaproteobacteria; Pseudomonadales; Pseudomonadaceae. The record is from RNAcentral.
GGUCAAGUGAAGAAGCGCAUACGGUGGAUGCCUUGGCAGUCAGAGGCGAUGAAAGACGUGGUAGCCUGCGAAAAGCUUCGGGGAGUCGGCAAACAGACUUUGAUCCGGAGAUCUCUGAAUGGGGGAACCCACCUAGGAUAACCUAGGUAUCUUGUACUGAAUCCAUAGGUGCAAGAGGCGAACCAGGGGAACUGAAACAUCUAAGUACCCUGAGGAAAAGAAAUCAACCGAGAUUCCCUUAGUAGUGGCGAGCGAACGGGGAUUAGCCCUUAAGCUUCAUUGAUUUUAGCGGAACGCUCUGGAAAGUGCGGCCAUAGUGGGUGAUAGCCCCGUACGCGAAAGGAUCUUUGAAGUGAAAUCGAGUAGGACGGAGCACGAGAAACUUUGUCUGAACAUGGGGGGACCAUCCUCCAAGGCUAAAUACUACUGACUGACCGAUAGUGAACCAGUACCGUGAGGGAAAGGCGAAAAGAACCCCGGAGAGGGGAGUGAAAUAGAACCUGAAACCGUAUGCGUACAAGCAGUGGGAGCCUACUUGUUAGGUGACUGCGUACCUUUUGUAUAAUGGGUCAGCGACUUAUAUUCAGUGGCAAGCUUAACCGUAUAGGGUAGGCGUAGCGAAAGCGAGUCUUAAUAGGGCGUUUAGUCGCUGGGUAUAGACCCGAAACCGGGCGAUCUAUCCAUGAGCAGGUUGAAGGUUAGGUAACACUGACUGGAGGACCGAACCCACUCCCGUUGAAAAGGUAGGGGAUGACUUGUGGAUCGGAGUGAAAGGCUAAUCAAGCUCGGAGAUAGCUGGUUCUCCUCGAAAGCUAUUUAGGUAGCGCCUCAUGUAUCACUCUGGGGGGUAGAGCACUGUUUCGGCUAGGGGGUCAUCCCGACUUACCAAACCGAUGCAAACUCCGAAUACCCAGAAGUGCCGAGCAUGGGAGACACACGGCGGGUGCUAACGUCCGUCGUGAAAAGGGAAACAACCCAGACCGCCAGCUAAGGUCCCAAAGUUGUGGUUAAGUGGUAAACGAUGUGGGAAGGCUUAGACAGCUAGGAGGUUGGCUUAGAAGCAGCCACCCUUUAAAGAAAGCGUAAUAGCUCACUAGUCGAGUCGGCCUGCGCGGAAGAUGUAACGGGGCUCAAACCACACACCGAAGCUGCGGGUGUCACGUAAGUGACGCGGUAGAGGAGCGUUCUGUAAGCCUGUGAAGGUGAGUUGAGAAGCUUGCUGGAGGUAUCAGAAGUGCGAAUGCUGACAUGAGUAACGACAAUGGGUGUGAAAAACACCCACGCCGAAAGACCAAGGGUUCCUGCGCAACGUUAAUCGACGCAGGGUUAGUCGGUUCCUAAGGCGAGGCUGAAAAGCGUAGUCGAUGGGAAACAGGUUAAUAUUCCUGUACUUCUGGUUACUGCGAUGGAGGGACGGAGAAGGCUAGGCCAGCUUGGCGUUGGUUGUCCAAGUUUAAGGUGGUAGGCUGAAAUCUUAGGUAAAUCCGGGGUUUCAAGGCCGAGAGCUGAUGACGAGUCGUCUUUUAGAUGACGAAGUGGUUGAUGCCAUGCUUCCAAGAAAAGCUUCUAAGCUUCAGGUAACCAGGAACCGUACCCCAAACCGACACAGGUGGUCGGGUAGAGAAUACCAAGGCGCUUGAGAGAACUCGGGUGAAGGAACUAGGCAAAAUGGCACCGUAACUUCGGGAGAAGGUGCGCCGGCUAGGGUGAAGGAUUUACUCCGUAAGCUCUGGCUGGUCGAAGAUACCAGGCCGCUGCGACUGUUUAUUAAAAACACAGCACUCUGCAAACACGAAAGUGGACGUAUAGGGUGUGACGCCUGCCCGGUGCCGGAAGGUUAAUUGAUGGGGUUAGCGCAAGCGAAGCUCUUGAUCGAAGCCCCGGUAAACGGCGGCCGUAACUAUAACGGUCCUAAGGUAGCGAAAUUCCUUGUCGGGUAAGUUCCGACCUGCACGAAUGGCGUAACGAUGGCGGCGCUGUCUCCACCCGAGACUCAGUGAAAUUGAAAUCGCUGUGAAGAUGCAGUGUAUCCGCGGCUAGACGGAAAGACCCCGUGAACCUUUACUGUAGCUUUGCACUGGACUUUGAGCCUGCUUGUGUAGGAUAGGUGGGAGGCUUUGAAGCGUGGACGCCAGUUCGCGUGGAGCCAUCCUUGAAAUACCACCCUGGCAUGCUUGAGGUUCUAACUCUGGUCCGUAAUCCGGAUCGAGGACAGUGUAUGGUGGGCAGUUUGACUGGGGCGGUCUCCUCCUAAAGAGUAACGGAGGAGUACGAAGGUGCGCUCAGACCGGUCGGAAAUCGGUCGUAGAGUAUAAAGGCAAAAGCGCGCUUGACUGCGAGACAGACACGUCGAGCAGGUACGAAAGUAGGUCUUAGUGAUCCGGUGGUUCUGUAUGGAAGGGCCAUCGCUCAACGGAUAAAAGGUACUCCGGGGAUAACAGGCUGAUACCGCCCAAGAGUUCAUAUACGACGGCGGUGUUUGGCACCUCGAUGUCGGCUCAUCACAUCCUGGGGCUGAAGCCGGUCCCAAGGGUAUGGCUGUUCGCCAUUUAAAGUGGUACGCGAGCUGGGUUUAGAACGUCGUGAGACAGUUCGGUCCCUAUCUGCCGUGGACGUUUGAGAUUUGAGAGGGGCUGCUCCUAGUACGAGAGGACCGGAGUGGACGAACCUCUGGUGUUCCGGUUGUCACGCCAGUGGCAUUGCCGGGUAGCUAUGUUCGGAAAAGAUAACCGCUGAAAGCAUCUAAGCGGGAAACUUGCCUCAAGAUGAGAUCUCACUGGGAACUUGAUUCCCCUGAAGGGCCGUCGAAGACUACGACGUUGAUAGGCUGGGUGUGUAAGCGUUGUGAGGCGUUGAGCUAACCAGUACUAAUUGCCCGUGAGGCUUGACCAU